GGGUGGAGGACAGGGACAUAGCCCACAGGCCAAGACUGGGAACUAAGGAAGGAAAGGAGGUGUUCUGGUAGAUUGGGUCACGCAACUCAAGGGUCUGCGUGGCCUGAAGAAAGUCAAACAGGAUCAGAGCCUGGAUGCCAAUGAGCAUAGCAAGGACCGCACCUGCCAGGGGUAAGGCGCUCUGGAGCACUGGGAGUCCUGCAGCUGCGCCUUUAAAGCCCCAGGCCCCUCUCCCGGACACUCUCUUU
Molecule: long non-coding RNA, 248 nt
Filed under: Marmota monax (woodchuck)
Lineage: Eukaryota; Metazoa; Chordata; Mammalia; Rodentia; Sciuridae
Source: RNAcentral